This 808-nucleotide ribosomal RNA is filed under the name Priestia megaterium. RNAcentral describes it as "bacterial SSU rRNA". It matches the Rfam family "Bacterial small subunit ribosomal RNA", at positions 56 to 842 of the family's 1533-position model. Lineage: Bacteria; Bacillati; Bacillota; Bacilli; Caryophanales; Bacillaceae. The record is from RNAcentral.
UGCAGUCGAGCGAACUGAUUAGAAGCUUGCUUCUAUGACGUUAGCGGCGGACGGGUGAGUAACACGUGGGCAACCUGCCUGUAAGACUGGGAUAACUUCGGGAAACCGAAGCUAAUACCGGAUAGGAUCUUCUCCUUCAUGGGAGAUGAUUGAAAGAUGGUUUCGGCUAUCACUUACAGAUGGGCCCGCGGUGCAUUAGCUAGUUGGUGAGGUAACGGCUCACCAAGGCAACGAUGCAUAGCCGACCUGAGAGGGUGAUCGGCCACACUGGGACUGAGACACGGCCCAGACUCCUACGGGAGGCAGCAGUAGGGAAUCUUCCGCAAUGGACGAAAGUCUGACGGAGCAACGCCGCGUGAGUGAUGAAGGCUUUCGGGUCGUAAAACUCUGUUGUUAGGGAAGAACAAGUACAAGAGUAACUGCUCGUACCUUGACGGUACCUAACCAGAAAGCCACGGCUAACUACGUGCCAGCAGCCGCGGUAAUACGUAGGUGGCAAGCGUUAUCCGGAAUUAUUGGGCGUAAAGCGCGCGCAGGCGGUUUCUUAAGUCUGAUGUGAAAGCCCACGGCUCAACCGUGGAGGGUCAUUGGAAACUGGGGAACUUGAGUGCAGAAGAGAAAAGCGGAAUUCCACGUGUAGCGGUGAAAUGCGUAGAGAUGUGGAGGAACACCAGUGGCGAAGGCGGCUUUUUUGGUCUGUAACUGACGCUGAGGCGCGAAAGCGUGGGGAGCAAAACAGGAUUAGAUACCCUGGUAGUCCACGCCGUAAACGAUGAGUGCUAAGUGUUAGAGGGUUUCCCGCCCUUUA